CACCCAUAUAUUUAGCACCAGAGCUGUAUCAGGGGGAGGCGUAUGGGAAGCCCGUCGACUGGUGGGCUGUGGGAGUUAUUCUCUAUCAGUUCCUGGUCGGCUCUUUCCCAUUUGAUGGAGAAAAUGAUGAUGAGCUCAGGAACGAAGUCAUCAAUAAAAAUGUCACCUGGCCAGAGGAGAGAGAUGUGGUGCCAUAUGAGGCCCAGGUCAUCAUCAUUCUGCUCCUCAGGAAGAAAGCAUGAAGCGUCUGGGCACAGGAGGAGCCAGUGAGGUGAAGGAACAGCCCUUUUUUCAGGACGUGGACUUCGAUAACCUCAGAAGAAGAGAAGAGAAGAUGGUGCAAGUGGAGAAGAAGAAGAAAGGAGACCAGGAGGGAGAAAAGAAGACGGUUGAGGAGAAGACGACGACAAGGAUGGAGGAAGAUAACGUUUAGGAACAGGAGUGAGAGGAGGUGUGAUGCCAUCUCUCCCUAUCCCUCCACCAUCCCUUCCCCAUCCCUCCAUCAUUCAUCCACCAUCCCUCCACCAUUCCUCCACCAUCUUUUCCCCAUCUCUACCCCAUCCUUCCACCAUUUCUCCCCCAUCUCUCCCCCAUCCCUCAACCAUCUCUCCCCCAUCUCUACCCCAUCCUUCCACCAUUUCUCCCCCAUCUCUCCCCCAUCCCUCAACCAUCUCUCCCCCACUUCUAGCCCAUCCCUCCACCAUCCUUCCACCAUCUCUCCCCCAUCUCCCUCCACCACAAGCAGAAAUAUGUGUCACUAGAAACUGAACUUGAAUCAAUACCAGCCA
Molecule: long non-coding RNA, 788 nt
Organism: Seriola aureovittata
Lineage: Eukaryota; Metazoa; Chordata; Actinopteri; Carangiformes; Carangidae
Exons: 3
Source: RefSeq, a predicted model, not a curated record